Myxocyprinus asiaticus (Chinese sucker) is the source of this 2870-nucleotide long non-coding RNA. RefSeq lists it as uncharacterized. The transcript is spliced from 3 exons. The record is from RefSeq and is a predicted model, not a curated record. NCBI's taxonomy places the organism in Eukaryota, Metazoa, Chordata, Actinopteri, Cypriniformes, Catostomidae.
UUAUACAUUUUGCACAUAUACAGUGAAAUUCUUUUUUUUUCACAUAUCCCAGCUAAGCUGGGGUCAGAGUGCAGGGUCAGCCAUGAUCAGCGGUGCCACUGAAUUGUAGUGAAGGAGUAUUUAAUACCGUCUUCUUUCUGCAUCAGCGGAACCGAAAAUCAUACAAAUUAUUUGGUUCUGGUAUAUUUUCUUUUUAAAGAACCAGUUCUGAGGGGGGCCUGGGUAGCUCAGUGAGUAAAGACGCUAACUACCACCCCUGGAGUUCACGAGUUCGAAUCCCUGGGUGUGCUGAGUGACUCCAGAGUGACUCCAGCCAGGGCUUCUAAGCAACCAAAUUGGACCGGUUGCUAGGGAGGGUAGAGUCACAUGGGGUAACCUCCUUGUGGUCGCUUUAAUGUGGUUCGCUCUCGGUGGGGCACGUAGUAAGUUGUGCGUGGAUGCCGCGGUGGAUGGCGUGAAGCCAUGUCUCUGCGGUAACGCGCUCAACAAGCCACAUGAUAAAAUGCACGGACUGACAGUCUCAGAUGCAGAGGCAACUGAGAUUCAUCCUCCACCACCCGGAUUGAGUCGAGUCACUACGCCACCACGAGGACUUUGCAUUGGGCAUUCCAAAUAAAAAAAAAAAUAAAAUAAAAAAAGAACCAGUUCUGAAACAACAGAGCCGUUUGUUCUCUAGAAACACCUGUGAUAUUGACUGUAUCUGGAUGAGAGCAGGGACAGGCAGAUGGCUUUUCAUCUGUCACUCAUUCAAGGAAAUAUCUUUCAUAAUAUACACAGGUCUGAUAAAUCUGUUAAAGUGGGCUCAGAACGCUCUCACAGGGCAUUGUGGGUGAGACAGCGAUAUCUGGAGUAAACGAAGACGAACAACAUGAAGACACAAAAUCUUUAUUGACAGGAACAGUGAGGUCCAAAUCAGCCCCAGUCUUGUGUAACCAGACCUGUGACUAUUAGCAGAAAGUCCGGUUCACAUUGUUCAAGAAAAAACAACUUAAGGGUCAUUCACAUCUUAAUGACUCCACCAGCAAGUCCUUAAUGUGCAUCAGAGUCUUGAAAGGGAUUCUUCAUCCAAAAGUGAAAACAGAACACUGUAUUCCAGAAAACACGAGUUGUGAAAAUAAGAUGUGAUCUAGGAACUUUAUACAGUGCAUGCCAUUGAGAAGACUUCAAGAUCUCAUGCAAAAAAUCACUUCAACACAUGGUCUCUGAAGGUUCAUAUUUAGUAGGGUUCUGAAUCUGAUCAUCUGAAACACAACAACAACAAUACAGUACAACAUUACAUGUUCUUAAGACUGAGUUGUACAACAUCUUACCAACAACUGCAUCUAAUCCAAUGUUUGAAGAUGCUGCCAUCUUGUGGUGGUGAAGAGUCAUCACAAUAGCUGGCAAGUUGCAUAAGACACCAUCUUUGAUUCCUGGUUUACAGAGUGUGGUUAUAACCACUUCCGGUUUCGCCUGGCACCGGUAUGGAGACCGCUAAAAAUGGCAUUUUACAUGAGGUGCUUACAGAAAAGAGAUUUAAAAUCUAUUGAAGCUUCACACUGAAGACACAUGAGGUUGAUCUCACAAACAGUGUGUUUAAGGCUGUUGUCGGCCACAGCCACACCAUACACUCUGUAAUUGUUUAGAGAAGUACACUUAAAAACAGCAGUGAACCCCUUCUGCACAGUCUCCCCUUGCACAUACAUACACUAAACAUUCAGGAACAGCUAUCAAUGCAAGACAUUACAACCCAGUAAAAUACAUAACACAAAUUUCUCUUAUCAGUUAGAAUAAGACCAUAAACAACAUGUCAACACGUUACAGUAUAUAUGCAGUUACAUCAAUGACUAUGAAGGUAAGAAUGAUAAUAAACUUCAGUAGCUCAUCUAAGUUUCUGUGAACAUGAAUAAAUAAUGCUAGACUUGGAUACAGAUUCAGUAAGAAAUACAAUUUGAAGAUGAAUAUACAACUGCAGGGUACAUAAGGUCAUAUUAAUCCUCUGUUGGACAACAACCAACACAUUUAUAAAGUUACAAUUUCUGUUUGUGUCUUACAUCUGAUUACAGAUGCAACUUUUUGGUAACACUUUACAAUAAGGUUCAAUUCGUAAACAUUGGUUAAUGCAUUUGGAAUAAUAAACGUACAAUUGUAACUAUUAGAGCAUUAAUCUAGGUUGAUGUUUUAUUUAAAUAUAUUAUUGUUCAUUGUUAAAAACCAUUUGUUCAUGUGUCCCAUGUAAAUGUAUAGAUAGAAAUGAACAUGAAUCAAGGUUAAUAAAUGCUGUAAAAGUAUUGACAGUUGUUAUUUCAUGUUAGCUAUUGCAUGUUGAUGUACAGAACCUUAUUGUAAAGUCUUACCUACAAUUUUAACACUAUUUACUUCAUACCGCUGGUCAGCUCGUCGCUGCUGGUUGAGGCACACAACAAUGUAAAGUGAAUGUUAUCUACCGUCACUGAUAAACUACUCUCAUUUCUUUCUUUACUUGUAAACAUGCUCAUGCUGGUCUCAACCAAGUCUCCUUUGGAAGUUUAUUCUCAAAGCAACACCGCGAUCACACCGUGUUCUCACUCAGUUUCAGUGAGCACUCAUACAACCAGAUGUAAUCAUGCACACAGUCAUGUGGUGAAAGCUCACAGGCGUCAUCUUGUGCACCUAGCCCAUUAGACAAGACUAUCCAGUAUGAAUUCUUUCGUGUAAUCUCAAGCUGUUUGACUGAGUGAAACUCUUUUCACAGUGUGAGCACUUGUAAGGUUUCUCUCCAGUAUGAAUUCUCUCAUGUGAUCUCAAGGUGUUUGACAGACUGAAACUCUUUCCACAGUGUGAGCACUUGUAAGGUUUCUCUCCAGUAUGAAUUCUCUCAUGUGAUCUCAAGCUGUUUGACAGAGAGAAAC